AACGAACGCUGGCGGCAUGCCUAACACAUGCAAGUCGAACGAGACCUUCGGGUCUAGUGGCGCACGGGUGCGUAACGCGUGGGAACCUGCCCUUAGGUUCGGAAUAACUCCCCGAAAGGGGUGCUAAUACCGGAUAAUGUCUUCGGACCAAAGAUUUAUCGCCUUUGGAUGGGCCCGCGUUGGAUUAGCUAGUUGGUAGGGUAAAAGCCUACCAAGGCGACGAUCCAUAGCUGGUCUGAGAGGAGGAUCAGCCACACUGGGACUGAGACACGGCCCAGACUCCUACGGGAGGCAGCAGUGGGGAAUAUUGGACAAUGGGCGAAAGCCUGAUCCAGCAUUGCCGCGUGAGUGAUGAAGGCCUUAGGGUUGUAAAGCUCUUUUACCCGGGAUGAUAAUGACAGUACCGGGAGAAUAAGCGCCGGCUAACUCCGUG
Molecule: ribosomal RNA, 433 nt
Filed under: uncultured bacterium
Lineage: Bacteria
Description: partial 16S ribosomal RNA
Rfam family: Bacterial small subunit ribosomal RNA
Source: RNAcentral